GACGAACGCUGGCGGCGUGCUUAACACAUGCAAGUCGAACGGAAAGGCCCUGCUUUUGUGGGGUGCUCGAGUGGCGAACGGGUGAGUAACACGUGAGUAACCUGCCCUUGACUUUGGGAUAACUUCAGGAAACUUGGGCUAAUACCGGAUAGGAUCUCCUGCUGCAUGGUGUGGGUUGGAAAGUUUCGGCGUUUGGGGAUGUACUCGCGGCUUAUCAGCUUGUUGGUGGGGUAGUUGCUUACCAAGGCUUUGACGGGUAGCCUGCCUGAGAGGGUGACCGGCGACAUUGGGACUGAGAUACGGCCCAGACUCCAACGGGAGGCAGCAGUGGGGAAUAUUGCACAAUGGGCGGAAGCCUGAUGCAGCAACGCCGCGUGCGGGAUGACGGCCUUCGGGUUGUAAACCGCUUUCGCCUGUGACGAAGCGUGAGUGACGGUAAUGGGUAAAGAAGCACCGGCUAACUACGUG
Molecule: ribosomal RNA, 468 nt
Filed under: uncultured bacterium
Lineage: Bacteria
Description: partial 16S ribosomal RNA
Rfam family: Bacterial small subunit ribosomal RNA
Source: RNAcentral